RNAcentral lists this ribosomal RNA (222 nucleotides) under uncultured bacterium. RNAcentral's name for it is "partial 16S ribosomal RNA". It matches the Rfam family "Bacterial small subunit ribosomal RNA", at positions 524 to 742 of the family's 1533-position model. The record is from RNAcentral.
UACGUAGGGUGCAAGCGUUGUCCGGAAUUAUUGGGCGUAAAGAGCUCGUAGGCGGUUUGUCGCGUCUGCUGUGAAAACUCAGGGCUUAACCCUGAGCCUGCAGUGGGUACGGGCAGACUAGAGUGUGGUAGGGGGAGAUCGGAAUUCCUGGUGUAGCGGUGGAAUGCGCAGAUAUCAGGAGGAACACCGGUGGCAAAGGCGGGUCUCUGGGCCGAAUGACUG